CCGUGCAGCCGGGGAGUUAGCGGUGCCCUGUACCUGCAAUCCGCUACAGCAGGGGUGUUGUCCCACCGAGGGUCUUAUGACGGAGAGCUGCCCAGGAUAAGUGGCGUUGACAUCCGGGUCUUGUGCAACAGAAACCUGUGAACCGUGUCAGGUCAGGAAUGAAGCAGCACUAAGCAGUGCUUUCUGUGUGACGCGAGGGUGCCUGGACCGAGUUUACUGUUCUGGUAACGUCUCUGAAAUAGGAUUCGACGUGGGGCGCACGG
This 263-nucleotide signal recognition particle RNA is filed under the name Eubacterium sp. Its description in RNAcentral is "signal recognition particle sRNA large type". It matches the Rfam family "Bacterial large signal recognition particle RNA". Rfam says of the family: The signal recognition particle (SRP) is a universally conserved ribonucleoprotein involved in the co-translational targeting of proteins to membranes. Archaeal SRP consists of a 7S RNA and homologues of the eukaryotic SRP19 and SRP54 proteins. Lineage: Bacteria; Bacillati; Bacillota; Clostridia; Eubacteriales; Eubacteriaceae. The record is from RNAcentral.